UGAGCAAUCUGCCCUUCUCUUCGGAAUAAGCGUUGGAAACGACGUCUAAUGCCGAAUACGACCUCCUUUCGCAUGAUCGGAGGUGGAAAGCUCCGGCGGAGAAGGAUGAGCUCGCGGCCUAUCAGCUAGUUGGUGUGGGUAAUGGCCCACCAAGGCGACGACGGGUAGCCGGCCUGAGAGGGUGACCGGCCACACUGGGACUGAGACACGGCCCAGACUCCCGUACGGGGAGGNAGCG
This 238-nucleotide ribosomal RNA is filed under the name uncultured bacterium. Its description in RNAcentral is "partial 16S ribosomal RNA". It matches the Rfam family "Bacterial small subunit ribosomal RNA", at positions 118 to 353 of the family's 1533-position model. The record is from RNAcentral.